Daphnia carinata is the source of this 991-nucleotide long non-coding RNA. RefSeq lists it as uncharacterized. The transcript is spliced from 3 exons. Lineage: Eukaryota; Metazoa; Arthropoda; Branchiopoda; Diplostraca; Daphniidae. The record is from RefSeq and is a predicted model, not a curated record.
AGAAGUUGGCUGAACGCAUCGAAGAAUAGGAAAAGAGAAAGGAAUAACAACAGAAAACGAGAAAAGCCAACAUUAAGAAAAAGAAAACUGAGAAGAAAGAACAUAAACUGAAUGAACGCCUCACACUUAACAGAGGAAAAGCUGGAAUUGUCUGAUAAGGCAACGAAAAUCCAAUUUAAACGGAAGUUAGAGGGAAUGAAGAAGAAAUUAAAAAGAAAAAGUAAGAAGAAGAGGUCCUGAAUUGCCAAACAUGCUCGAGCCACCAAGGCAGUAUCUGUGUCAUCAACCUCUGGUCUUUCAGAGUUUGUUAAAACAGAAAUUCCUCAACCAAGACUAGCAAGUACACUGGCAACACCAAUUUUUAACAGUGAAGGCUGCCUAGUUUCCAGCAAAUUUGAUUUUGGAGAACUAUCUAAUUCCUCACCCAUUCUGAAAAAGACCACUUUAUAUCCAGAAGUGGCAACGAUUAAAAUGAAAGAAAAUAAAACUUAAACCAAAAAUGAAUAUCUUGGUAGGCCAAGCUGAAGCUGAGAAUGCAAGAAGCAUUGAAUAGAAACAGGCAUGAAAUGGUGCUCUGCAAAUAGCUGAAGGUUUUCAGGUAAAAGACUAUGUGGAAUUGCUUGCCAAAUCAAUUAAUGAACGAGAUCAAAUCAGAAAGUAACAUAAAUUGCGCUGAACGAAUCGAAGAAAAGGAAAAGAGAAAGGAAUAACAACAGAAAAAGAGAAAAGCCAACAUUAAGAAAAAUAAAACUGAAAAGAAAGAACAUAAAGUGAAUAAACUAAAGAAAAAAGGCAAAUUUACCGUAUGAAAGACUGAUACUGACUCAUGGAUGAGCUAAACUCUUGUUCUUUCAUGUGCAGCCAUGUCGUGAUAGUUUUAUAGAAAAAUACACUGGCAUGCCUUCCAUGAUCGUGGAAAAUUUGAAGAAAAAAUAUCUUAGAUUCAUUUAAAAAGGUUUAGUGUCUUCACUAAUAACAGACUCUCAUUUUA